Molecule: ribosomal RNA, 497 nt
Filed under: uncultured bacterium
Lineage: Bacteria
Description: partial 16S ribosomal RNA
Rfam family: Bacterial small subunit ribosomal RNA
Source: RNAcentral
GAUGAACGCUGGCGGCGUGCCUAAUACAUGCAAGUCGAGCGAACAGACGAGGAGCUUGCUCCUCUGACGUUAGCGGCGGACGGGUGAGUAACACGUGGAUAACCUACCUAUAAGACUGGGAUAACUUCGGGAAACCGGAGCUAAUACCGGAUAAUAUAUUGAACCGCAUGGUUCAAUAGUGAAAGACGGUUUUGCUGUCACUUAUAGAUGGAUCCGCGCCGCAUUAGCUAGUUGGUAAGGUAACGGCUUACCAAGGCAACGAUGCGUAGCCGACCUGAGAGGGUGAUCGGCCACACUGGAACUGAGACACGGUCCAGACUCCUACGGGAGGCAGCAGUAGGGAAUCUUCCGCAAUGGGCGAAAGCCUGACGGAGCAACGCCGCGUGAGUGAUGAAGGUCUUCGGAUCGUAAAACUCUGUUAUUAGGGAAGAACAAAUGUGUAAGUAACUAUGCACGUCUUGACGGUUCCUAAUCAGAAAGCCACGGCCAACUACGUG